Molecule: transfer RNA, 124 nt
Filed under: Rhizobium leguminosarum
Lineage: Bacteria; Pseudomonadati; Pseudomonadota; Alphaproteobacteria; Hyphomicrobiales; Rhizobiaceae
Description: tRNA-Pro
Source: RNAcentral
CGGGUGGGUAGCUCGGGUUGCGAUUGUGACGGGAAGGAUGAGGUUUCGAGCACAGGGGUGCUGUAAAACUAGCACCACGUUCGGGACGUGGGGGUCGAGUGUUCGAAUCACUCCACUCCGACCA